UGGCGACCGGCGCACGGGUGAGUAACACGUAUCCAACCUGCCGAUGACUCGGGGAUAGCCUUUCGAAAGAAAGAUUAAUGCCCGAUGGCAUAGUUCUUCCGCAUGGUAGAACUAUUAAAGAAUUUCGGUCAUCGAUGGGGAUGCGUUCCAUUAGGUUGUUGGCGGGGUAACGGCCCACCAAGCCUUCGAUGGAUAGGGGUUCUGAGAGGAAGGUCCCCCACAUUGGAACUGAGACACGGUCCAA
Molecule: ribosomal RNA, 244 nt
Filed under: uncultured bacterium
Lineage: Bacteria
Description: partial 16S ribosomal RNA
Rfam family: Bacterial small subunit ribosomal RNA
Source: RNAcentral